GAUAAAGUGGCCGAUAAUAAGCGAUAAAUUGUAAAUUUAUUUAUGAGAAUUCUCCUUUAUCA
This 62-nucleotide transfer RNA is filed under the name Coccinella septempunctata (seven-spotted ladybird). RNAcentral's name for it is "tRNA-Tyr". Lineage: Eukaryota; Metazoa; Arthropoda; Insecta; Coleoptera; Coccinellidae. The record is from RNAcentral.